Molecule: long non-coding RNA, 333 nt
Filed under: Nicotiana benthamiana
Lineage: Eukaryota; Viridiplantae; Streptophyta; Magnoliopsida; Solanales; Solanaceae
Description: long non-coding RNA (NBEN_LNC011843)
Source: RNAcentral
ACGGUAGUUGUCGGAGAUCCUCGCCGUUGAAAUAGGUACCUGUCCAAGGAAACAGAACACACACACAAAAAGCAGGGGAAUAGAAGGAAAAGAGUCGGAGUUGCUGGUAAAAUUUCCGGCGAAAAGCAAGGUGGCUAAAUGAACAAUAAAGGAUGAAAGUGACCAGUGAAAAAUUCCGAGAGUACCAAGUGGGUCGGAAAUAUGGGGGGAGAAAACUGUCCAAAAGAAGCCGGUGGAAAAAGUGCCGGGAAGUGGGCACACGCGCGCGGCGCGUGGAGGACAGGGGCGGCGCGUGGGCGGCGCGUGGGCGGCGCAUGCGGCUGUUUCCGGCAA